GACGAACGCUGGCGGCGUGCUUAACACAUGCAAGUCGAACGGAAAGGCCCUGCUUUUGUGGGGUGCUCGAGUGGCGAACGGGUGAGUAACACGUGAGUAACCUGCCCUUGACUUUGGGAUAACUUCAGGAAACUGGGGCUAAUACCGGAUAGGAGCUCCUGCUGCAUGGUGGGGGUUGGAAAGUUUCGGCGGUUGGGGAUGGACUCGCGGCUUAUCAGCUUGUUGGUGGGGUAGUGGCUUACCAAGGUUUUGAAGGGUAGCCGGCCUGAGAGGGUGACCGGCCACAUUGGGACUGAGAGACGGAGCAGACUCCUACGGGAGGCAGCAGUGGGGAGUAUUGCACAGUGGGCGGAAGCCUGAUGCAGCAACGCCGCGUGCGGGAUGACGGCCCUCGGGUUGUAAACCGCUUUCGCCUGUGACGAAGCGUGAGUGACGGUAAUGGGUAAAGAAGCACCGGCUAACUACGUG
RNAcentral lists this ribosomal RNA (468 nucleotides) under uncultured bacterium. RNAcentral's name for it is "partial 16S ribosomal RNA". It matches the Rfam family "Bacterial small subunit ribosomal RNA", at positions 28 to 507 of the family's 1533-position model. The record is from RNAcentral.